RNAcentral lists this ribosomal RNA (494 nucleotides) under uncultured bacterium. RNAcentral describes it as "partial 16S ribosomal RNA". It matches the Rfam family "Bacterial small subunit ribosomal RNA", at positions 28 to 507 of the family's 1533-position model. The record is from RNAcentral.
GACGAACGCUGGCGGCGUGCUUAACACAUGCAAGUCGAACGGUGAAGCGCCUUCCUUUUUGGUGGGUGUGGAUGAGUGGCGAACGGGUGAGUAACACGUGAGUAACCUGCCCCCUUCUUCUGGAUAACCGCAUGAAAGUGUGGCUAAUACGGGAUAUUCUGGGUCUGUCGCAUGAUGGGUCUGGGAAAGAUAUUGUUUCGGUGGGGGAUGGGCUCGCGGCCUAUCAGCUUGUUGGUGGGGUGAUGGCCUACCAAGGCGGUGACGGGUAGCCGGCCUGAGAGGGGUGACGGUCACACUGGGACGUGGGCACCGCCCAGACUCCUACGGGAGGGAGCAGGUGGGAAUAUUGCACAAUGGGCGCAAGCCUGAUGCAGCGACGCCGCGUGAGGGAUGGAGGCCUUCGGGUUGUGAACCUCUUUCGCCAGUGAAGCAGGCCUGCCUCGUUUGUGGGUGGGUUGACGGUAGCUGGAUAAGAAGCGCCGGCUAACUACGUG